This 566-nucleotide ribosomal RNA is filed under the name uncultured fungus. Its description in RNAcentral is "eukaryotic LSU rRNA". It matches the Rfam family "Eukaryotic large subunit ribosomal RNA", at positions 68 to 652 of the family's 3401-position model. Lineage: Eukaryota; Fungi. The record is from RNAcentral.
ACAGGGAUUGCCUCAGUAACGGCGAGUGAAGCGGCAACAGCUCAAAUUUGAAAGCUGGCCUUUGGCCCGUGUUGUAAUUCGUAGAGGAUGCUUCGGGUGCGGCGCUGGUUUAAGUUCCCUGGAACGGGACGUCAUAGAGGGUGAGAAUCCCGUAUAUGGCCGGCCGCCUGUGCUCAUGUGAAGCUCCUUCGACGAGUCGAGUUGUUUGGGAAUGCAGCUCUAAAUGGGUGGUGUACUUCAUCUAAAGCUAAAUAUUGGCCAAAGACCGAUAGCGCACAAGUAGAGUGAUCGAAAGAUGAAAAGCACUUUGGAAAGAGAGUUAAACAGUACGUGAAAUUGUUGAAAGGGAAGCGCUUGCAAUCAGACUUGCGCCCGGUCGAUCAUCCGAACUUCUGUCCGGUGCACUCGAUCGGGCUCAGGCCAGCAUCGGUUUGGGCGGCUGGAUAAAGGCCUUGGGAAUGUGGCCCCUCUCGGGGGGUGUUAUAGCCCUCGGUGCAAUGCAGCCCGCCUGGACCGAGGACCGCGCUUCGGCUAGGAUGCUGGCGUAAUGGUUGUAAGCGACCCGU